This 523-nucleotide ribosomal RNA is filed under the name uncultured bacterium. Its description in RNAcentral is "bacterial SSU rRNA". It matches the Rfam family "Bacterial small subunit ribosomal RNA", at positions 10 to 521 of the family's 1533-position model. The record is from RNAcentral.
AGUUUGAUCCUGGCUCAGGAUGAACGCUAGCUACAGGCUUAACACAUGCAAGUCGAGGGGCAGCAUUUUAGUUUGCUUGCAAACUGAAGAUGGCGACCGGCGCACGGGUGAGUAACACGUAUCCAACCUGCCGAUAACUCCGGGAUAGCCUUUCGAAAGAAAGAUUAAUACCGGAUAGCAUACGAAUAUCGCAUGAUAUUUUUAUUAAAGAAUUUCGGUUAUCGAUGGGGAUGCGUUCCAUUAGUUUGUUGGCGGGGUAACGGCCCACCAAGACUACGAUGGAUAGGGGUUCUGAGAGGAAGGUCCCCCACAUUGGAACUGAGACACGGUCCAAACUCCUACGGGAGGCAGCAGUGAGGAAUAUUGGUCAAUGGGCGAGAGCCUGAACCAGCCAAGUAGCGUGAAGGAUGAAGGCUCUAUGGGUCGUAAACUUCUUUUAUAUGGGAAUAAAGUUUUCCACGUGUGGAAUUUUGUAUGUACCAUAUGAAUAAGGAUCGGCUAACUCCGUGCCAGCAGCCGCGGU